This 332-nucleotide long non-coding RNA is filed under the name Actinidia chinensis (golden kiwifruit). RNAcentral's name for it is "long non-coding RNA (ACHI_LNC001113)". Lineage: Eukaryota; Viridiplantae; Streptophyta; Magnoliopsida; Ericales; Actinidiaceae. The record is from RNAcentral.
GGGAAGUCUGGUAGUCAAUUGAUACUUCUUUGACCUCCAGGGGUGUUAAAAUUUCAAGGAAAUUCUAUUGAAAAAUUGAAUGGUUUACCUAGUUGGUUGGUUCUGUCAUCCUACAUCAAAUGCAACGUGUUUGUUGUUAGAUUUUAUUUUGGUUACUUGAAUUCAACUUUUUUUUUUUUUAACAUUUAGCUAGAACUUGUGGGUAGUUAAAGAUGGUAAAUUCAGUCGCGACUCUGGUUUAAGUUGGCUAGCUCUACUCAUGUUCAUAUUUCUAUAUAAUUAGCCUCGUCUGCCUGCAUAGCUGUAACUGUGUUGUCGAAAGCAUUUCCGCA